Molecule: ribosomal RNA, 253 nt
Filed under: uncultured bacterium
Lineage: Bacteria
Description: partial 16S ribosomal RNA
Rfam family: Bacterial small subunit ribosomal RNA
Source: RNAcentral
UACGUAGGGUGCGAGCGUUGUCCGGAUUUAUUGGGCGUAAAGCGCACGUAGGCGGCUUUGCAAGUCAGAGGUGAAAGCCCGGGGCUCAACCCCGGAAUUGCCUUUGAGACUGCAUCGCUAGAAUUGUGGAGAGGUAAGUGGAAUUCCGAGUGUAGAGGUGAAAUUCGUAGAUAUUCGGAAGAACACCAGUGGCGAAGGCGACUUACUGGACACAUAUUGACGCUGAGGUGCGAAAGCGUGGGGAGCAAACAGG